UCCCUGGUGGUCUGGUGGCUAGGACUCUGUGCUUCCAAUGCAGGGGGCCUGGGUUUGUAUCCUGGUUGGGGAA
This 73-nucleotide transfer RNA is filed under the name Ovis aries (sheep). It matches the Rfam family "tRNA". Rfam says of the family: Transfer RNA (tRNA) molecules are approximately 80 nucleotides in length. Their secondary structure includes four short double-helical elements and three loops (D, anti-codon, and T loops). The record is from Rfam by way of RNAcentral. Lineage: Eukaryota; Metazoa; Chordata; Mammalia; Artiodactyla; Bovidae.